GUCUCUUUGAGUAUUUUUAAUAGAGAGUUGGGCCUGCUCGGUGAUAAUAUUUAAACAGAUAAAAAAAUUAUAACUGUACUAAGGUAGCAUAAUAAUUUGCCUUAUAAAUUAGGGCUAGAAUGAAUGGUUUGACGAAAAUUAUACUGUCUCUAGUUUAUUUGUUAGAAGUUAAUUUUUAUAGUGAAAAAGCUUAAAUAAUUUAAAGGGACGAGAAGACCCUAUUGAGCUUUAUAUUAUAUAUUAAAGAUUAUAAUUUUAUUUAUUUGAUAUAAUUUUGGUUGGGGUGAUCAAGGAAUAAAAAUUAGUUUAUUUAACUUCCUUAAUGAAAUUUAUAUAUGUAUGAAUAAACCAAUAAUGUUGCUUAGAAGAUAAGUUACCAUAGGGAUAACAGCGUAAUUUUUUUUGAAAGUUCUUAUUGAAAAAAGAGAUUGCGACCUCGAUGUUGGAUUAAAAUAACCUUAAGGUGUAGAGGCUUUAAUUGGUAAAUCUGUUCGAUUUUUAAAAUUUU
RNAcentral lists this ribosomal RNA (508 nucleotides) under Hapalochlaena sp. 3023B_WA_CMAR. Its description in RNAcentral is "partial large subunit ribosomal RNA". The stretch from base 384 to 508 matches the Rfam family "Bacterial large subunit ribosomal RNA", at positions 2473 to 2597 of the family's 2925-position model. The record is from RNAcentral. Lineage: Eukaryota; Metazoa; Mollusca; Cephalopoda; Octopoda; Octopodidae.